RNAcentral lists this ribosomal RNA (434 nucleotides) under uncultured bacterium. RNAcentral describes it as "bacterial SSU rRNA". It matches the Rfam family "Bacterial small subunit ribosomal RNA", at positions 43 to 524 of the family's 1533-position model. The record is from RNAcentral.
CAGGCCUAACACAUGCAAGUCGAACGAAGGCUUCGGCCUUAGUGGCGCACGGGUGCGUAACGCGUGGGAAUCUGCCCCUUGGUUCGGAAUAACAGUUAGAAAUGACUGCUAAUACCGGAUAACGACGUAAGUCCAAGAUUUAUCGCCGAGGGAUGAGCCCGCGUAGGAUUAGCUAGUUGGUGUGGUAAAGGCGCACCAAGGCGACGAUCCUUAGCUGGUCUGAGAGGAUGAUCAGCCACACUGGGACUGAGACACGGCCCAGACUCCUACGGGAGGCAGCAGUGGGGAAUAUUGGACAAUGGGGGCAACCCUGAUCCAGCCAUGCCGCGUGAGUGAUGAAGGCCCUAGGGUUGUAAAGCUCUUUCACCGGUGAAGAUAAUGACGGUAACCGGAGAAGAAGCCCCGGCUAACUUCGUGCCAGCAGCCGCGGUAAU